GCGGGAACACCAAUUAUAAGAUCUAUCUGAUUAGGAGGGAGCAUGCGCUUGAGAAACUGAAAACAAGGCCCCCACAGCUGGAGUGGAGAGGACAAGAUGAUGUUCGGUGUGAGCUAAGACCACAGCGAUGAGGAGGGCCAAAAUCACACCGGGCCACCGGGCCACACGGAGAACGAUGCCCUCUUCUCCAUUGCGCGCAACUGAACCAACAUGGCUGGCAUUCCAGCCUCCCUGCCUGGUGCACACCUGCCAUUGUGUAAGAACCAGCUCAUCAGCCCCUCGGUGACACCAGCUCUACCCUCUCCCCCAUCUCCAGUGCUACUCAAAGGCCCGAGUCCCAUUAACUUCUGUACGCACAGCCCAGCAGAGUCUCUGGUGGAGCUUCCAGACAAGGAUAUAACAAAGAGUUCGUGGUUUCUAGAAGGUUCUCAGAGUGGCAAGGUCUACCUUAGAAUAUGCCGACACCAUUAAGAUCCUUUUUUGGUGAAACGUUUCCAGUGAUACUCAGAUGCCCCUGUUCAGAAAGAGCCCAGCAGGAGCGAACGAAAGCAGAUUCCUCCUCCGAAGAGAGCCCAGGCAACAAAUGGAGGCUGGUAAGAAGCACCCGUUGGUAAGAGAGAUAAGAUGACUUGGAACGAGUCUGAGUAUCAGCAAGCCUGCGUUUUCAAACUCAGGCCAACAGCUCGACGUCUAUUUAUGUCAGGUUAGAUCGCACCCUUUGAUAAAGCAUACGGUCACUAGAAAGUGUCCUUUCCUCCCCCUUCCUUCCUCCUGUAGGCAUAAAUUCCCCCUUAUACAGAUCAGUCUGCAGUCAUGAUUGGGUCCACCCUGAUUCAAAACAACCAGGACUUUCAUCUGAGAGGGGGAAAAAAAAAAAUCUAUCCGAACCCACUGUGUGAAAAUUGUAUGGACCCCAAGCAGUUUUAAUUGAACGUUGUACUUUUUACCAUAUACUUCUGCAUCUUUCGUAAAUGGGUUGGAGGCCACUUUGUAUCCAACACAAUGGUACCAACGUUGAAUUUUAAAAACAAAAAUGAAGGACAAUAGGAAAAACUAGUAACACCAAAGCUUGCGUUGGAAGUGGUCCACUAGAAAGUCCUACAGGAUUGUUUAAGGUAUCUCAAAACUUGGCUCUACUCUGCUUAUGGCCAAGGCAAAGCUUAUGCCAAGCACCGGAGAGGGACGCCUAUAAAGGAAAUCUGUGGGUUUCGAUUAUAUGCGUGUAAGAAAUGACCAGUGCUGAAUGGGGAGAGGUCUGCGGAAGCAGCCCUGUAUAGGGACCUCUAAAUAUCCUUUAAUAAUAUCCACGCCACAGAGGGAAUGAAAGGGCCUGACGGUGGUGUGGCCCCUGCCAAGCAGAGGGAGAUUCUGGUCAAGCUCACAGGAAAGGAAAAGACUGCCUGGGACCAGCAGCCAGCGUGGCUCCGGCCUUUCAAUUUUUUCAUGAAACAAGCCAUGUUUCACCAAGGCGUCCAGGAGGCUUUCAGGGUGGGCGGGGGCUGUCUGUGGGCGGGGCCGAGACGCGUUUGGGCGGGGUGGGCCCCCGGCUGACACCUGCUCCUCACUAGGGUCCCCCGCCGCCCAGCGUGGGCAGGUGUGCUGGCUCCGCCCCUGUGCCUUUGCUAGGAGCCAGGGCCAGAAAGAGCGGCUGUCCCUGGGGGGCCGCGUGGAGGGCUCUAGGAAGGCAGGUGCACCCCAGACAACGCUUCACCCCGCAGUAAAUUCCAUAAUUACAGGUCACCGAGUGGGCGCCCCUUUGAAGUGAGGGACUUUCUUGUUGUUCCUGCGGCGGAUACAAUUUGGCUGAGAUAUCAAAUGCAGAUAGUAAAAAUUUAAUUAACAAAUCAAAGCCUUUAUCUGGAGUUUUUAGAACUGUGGCCAACAGUUUUCUUCAAUCUCAAGAGCUCCAGUCAGAGCCGAAGAGAAGAAAGCAGCGCCUUUGUAGUGCAGAAAACGUACAACUUUUCCUGAUGAUCGCUCUCACAGAUAAGGCUCCUCUUAACUGCCGGCUCCUUCCCUCCUUCGGGAAGAGGCUUUGAGGCCCCUCUGCAAAGGGGCUGCAUUUUUGAGAGCCCUUUGACACUCUGCUCUGGUUAACCCUUUAUCUGGUUAACAGGAUGGUUCUCCCAGCAAGCCAGGCUGUAGGAGAUGAUUAGUCUCCCCUGCGUGGUUGUGUGGACCCACAACACGCCCUGGACCUGGGAGAAACUGAGCCUCCAAAAAGCGAAGAAUGUGUUGUGCCUCCUUGUCCCGACAGAACUCUUACGAAUAAAGCAAGAGGAAAUGAUGCGAGGCCGUGUGUAAUGAACACGUAAUUAGAACAUCAGAAUCCAAAUUUGCGUGUAUGUGCUAUAUACAUGCCCAUCUGUAUAAAGUAAAAUUAUCAUGGUGUCAUCUCUGAAUGUGAUUAAAAGUGAUUUUGAUUUCCA
Molecule: long non-coding RNA, 2429 nt
Organism: Felis catus (domestic cat)
Lineage: Eukaryota; Metazoa; Chordata; Mammalia; Carnivora; Felidae
Exons: 3
Source: RefSeq, a predicted model, not a curated record